GACGUAGGGCGCGAGCGUUGUCCGGAUUUAUUGGGCGUAAAGAGCUCGUAGGCGGCUUGUCGCGUCGACUGUGAAAACCCACGGCUUAACUGUGGGCUUGCAGUCGAUACGGGCAGGCUAGAGUUCGGUAGGGGAGACUGGAGUUCCUGGUGUAGCGGUGAAAUGCGCAGAUAUCAGGAGGAACACCGGUGGCGAAGGCGGGUCUCUGGGCCGAUACUGACGCUGAGGAGCGAAAGCGUGGGGAGCGAACAGG
This 253-nucleotide ribosomal RNA is filed under the name uncultured bacterium. Its description in RNAcentral is "partial 16S ribosomal RNA". It matches the Rfam family "Bacterial small subunit ribosomal RNA", at positions 524 to 776 of the family's 1533-position model. The record is from RNAcentral.